UAAUACGUAGGGGGCGAGCGUUGUCCGAAGUUACUGGGCGUAAAGCGCGCGUAGGCGGGCUGUUAAGUCGGAAGUGAAAGGCUGGGGCUCAACCGCAGCAGUGCUUCCGAUACUGGCCGUCUUGAGGGCAGCAGGGAGAAGUGGAAUGGCUGGUGUAGCGGUGAAAUGCGUAGAUAUCAGUCGGAACACCGGUGGCGAAGGCGGCUUCUUGGGCUGUACCUGACGCUGAGGCGCGAAAGCCAGGGGAGCGAACGGGAUUAGAUACCCCGGUAGUCCUGGCUGUAAACGAUGGAUACUAGGUGUUGGGGGUAUCGACCCCCCCAGUGCCGCCGCUAACGCAGUAAGUAUCCCGCCUGGGGAGUACGGCCGCAAGGUUG
Molecule: ribosomal RNA, 377 nt
Filed under: uncultured bacterium
Lineage: Bacteria
Description: bacterial SSU rRNA
Rfam family: Bacterial small subunit ribosomal RNA
Source: RNAcentral